This is a long non-coding RNA of Rhinolophus ferrumequinum (greater horseshoe bat), 353 nucleotides long. RefSeq lists it as uncharacterized. The transcript is spliced from 3 exons. The record is from RefSeq and is a predicted model, not a curated record. NCBI's taxonomy places the organism in Eukaryota, Metazoa, Chordata, Mammalia, Chiroptera, Rhinolophidae.
CAAAGAAGGUCCUUAAGAAGACAGACCGGGGGGACCCUGAGCACAGAUGGAGCCAGUAGCUGCAGAGGAGCACAAGGAAGGAAGGUGGAGUGCAGGUGCAGCCCCCCAAAAAUAGAUUUCAUGUUCCUCAUUAGCAACUGUUGCUGAGAGUUUUUAAGUGACUCACCUAAGAUUCUAGAGCUCACAUGUAUCAGAACUGGAAUUCAACUCUGCCUGCUUGGCUCCGAGGAAGCUCUGCCAUCAGCCUCAUCCUUCAAAGGAGGAACAUUUUGAGAUGUGCAUGAAAGCAGAAGUGAAGACUCACGUUCCCGAAGCAUGUCAUGGAGACCUGGUGAGGGCGUGAGAGGGUAAAA